Molecule: small nuclear RNA, 105 nt
Organism: Suncus etruscus (white-toothed pygmy shrew)
Lineage: Eukaryota; Metazoa; Chordata; Mammalia; Eulipotyphla; Soricidae
Source: RefSeq, a predicted model, not a curated record
GUACUCGCUUCAGCAGGACAUACACUAAAAUUGGAAUGAAUCAGAAGAUUAGCAUGGCUAUUGCACAAGGAUGACACGCAAAUUCGUGAAGCAUUCCAUAUUUUU